This 305-nucleotide unclassified non-coding RNA is filed under the name plant metagenome. Its description in RNAcentral is "partial contains 5.8S ribosomal RNA, internal transcribed spacer 2, and large subunit ribosomal RNA". The stretch from base 1 to 105 matches the Rfam family "5.8S ribosomal RNA", at positions 50 to 154 of the family's 154-position model. The record is from RNAcentral.
GAAAUGCGAUAAGUAGUGUGAAUUGCAGAAUUCAGUGAAUCUUCGAAUCUUUGAACGCACAUUGCGCCCUUUGGUAUUCCUUAGGGCAUGCCUGUUCGAGCGUCAUCUAAACCUUCAAGCCCUGCUUGGUGUUGGGUGCCUGUCCCGCCUCCGCGCGCGGACUCACCUCAAAUCCAUUGGCGGCCCCCGCGUCGGCCACGAGCGCAGCAGAAACGCGAACUCGUGAGCCCGUCCGGGCGGCUCCCAGAAGCUACACCCACCCAGUUUGACCUCGGAUCAGGUAGGGAUACCCGCUGAACUUAAGC